GAUGAAGAACGUAGCGAAAUGCGAUAAGUAAUGUGAAUUGCAGAAUUCAGUGAAUCAUCGAAUCUUUGAACGCAUCUUGCGCUCCUUGGUAUUCUGAGGAGCAUGCCUGUUUGAGUGUCAUUAAAUUCUCAACUACACUGACUUUGAAUUGGUGUGGCUUGGAUUUGGGGGGAAAAUUGUUGUGGGCUUUUUGUAUAGUCUGCUCCCCUGAAAUUGAUUAGCGGUACCUUUGUGGAACUGUCUACAGGUGUGAUAAUUAUCUACAUCUUAGACAUCUGCUGGAAUGCUGCUUUCUAAACCUUACUUGUAUUGACAAUCUUGACCUCAAAUCAGGUAGGACUACCCGCUGAACUUAAGCAUAUCAUAAGCGGAGGA
Molecule: unclassified non-coding RNA, 375 nt
Filed under: soil metagenome
Description: partial contains 5.8S ribosomal RNA, internal transcribed spacer 2, and large subunit ribosomal RNA
Rfam family: 5.8S ribosomal RNA (bases 1-120)
Source: RNAcentral